CGACCGGCGCACGGGUGAGUAACACGUAUGAAACCUGCCCGUAGCAGGGGGAUAAGCGGAAGAAAUUCCGUCUAAUACCGCGUAACAACCCAUGGAGGCAUCUCUGUGGGUUUAAAGGAAGCGAUUCCGGCUACGGAUGGUCAUGCGUCGCAUUAGCUUGUUGGCGGGGUAGCGGCCCACCAAGGCGACGAUGCGUAGGGGUUCUGAGAGGAAGGUCCCCCACACUGGUACUGAGACACGGACCAGACUCCUACGGAAGGCAGCAG
This 266-nucleotide ribosomal RNA is filed under the name uncultured bacterium. Its description in RNAcentral is "partial 16S ribosomal RNA". It matches the Rfam family "Bacterial small subunit ribosomal RNA", at positions 92 to 354 of the family's 1533-position model. The record is from RNAcentral.